Molecule: ribosomal RNA, 953 nt
Filed under: uncultured Planctomycetota bacterium
Lineage: Bacteria; Pseudomonadati; Planctomycetota
Description: bacterial SSU rRNA
Rfam family: Bacterial small subunit ribosomal RNA
Source: RNAcentral
UACAGAGGCCCCAAGCGUUACUGAGAAUCACUGGGUUUAAAGGGUGCGUAGGUGGCGCGUUAAGUCCGUUGUGAAAUCCCUUGGCUCAACCAAGGAAUGGCUUCGGAUACUGGCGCGCUUGAGGCCGGUAGGGGUCACUGGAACUGACGGUGGAGCGGUGAAAUGCGUAGAUAUCGUCAGGAACGCCAAUGGUGAAGACAGGUGACUGGGCCGGUUCUGACACUGAGGCACGAAAGCGUGGGGAGCGAACGGGAUUAGAUACCCCGGUAGUCCACGCCCUAAACGAUGCAGACUAGACUGCAGCGGGUUACACCCCGUUGCGGUCGGAGCGAAAUUGUUAAGUCUGCCACCUGGGAAGUACGGUCGCAAGGCUAAAACUCAAAGGAAUUGACGGGGGCUCACACAAGCGGUGGAGCAUGUGGCUCAAUUCGAAGCAACGCGAAGAACCUUAUCCUGGAUUUGACAUGGUGGAAGUACGAAGCGGAAACGUCUAGGACCGGUAUCCAAUCCGGAACCAUCACAGGUGCUGCAUGGCUGUCGUCAGCUCGUGCUGUGAAGUGUCGGGUUAAGUCCCAUAACGAGCGAAACCCUUAUCGUUAGUUGCCAUCAGGUUAAGCUGGGCACUCUAACGAGACUGCCGGUGUUAAACCGGAGGAAGGCGGGGAUGACGUCAAGUCCUCAUGGCCUUUAUAUCCAGGGCUGCACACGUGCUACAAUGCCGAUGACAAACCGAAGCAAGACCGUAAGGUGGAGCAAAUCGGAGAAAAAUCGGCCCAGUUCAGAUUGAGGGCUGCAACUCGCCCUCAUGAAGUUGGAAUCGCUAGUAAUCGCGGAUCAGCUACGCCGCGGUGAAUGUGUUCCUGAGCCUUGUACACACCGCCCGUCAAGUCAUGGAAGCUGGUAAUGCCUGAAACGCCCCCAAAGGCGCUACGGCAGGACCGGUGACUGGGACU